This 520-nucleotide long non-coding RNA is filed under the name Mytilus galloprovincialis (Mediterranean mussel). The record is from RNAcentral. Lineage: Eukaryota; Metazoa; Mollusca; Bivalvia; Mytilida; Mytilidae.
CCCCUUAUGUAUUUCAAAUCAGUAUUUCUCCACAACCAUACAAGUGAUUGACCUCCGGUCUUCCGUUUUGUGUUCACUGACCUAUGACCUUGAAAUUGAGAUCAAGGUCGAAGGUCAAGGUCAUGUUAUAAAUUUUGAAUUUUGCUUGUUAUCGUUAUUCAAAAGAAACUGUUACAGUAAAUGAUAUGAUUUGUUUGCCAAAUUGCUGUUUACAAAAAGGCGCAACUUCAAUCUAUUUCCGUCGAAGUGUUUUGGUUAACCCUUAUAGGAGUUUUCUCCCCUUAUGUAUUUGAAACCAGUAUUUCUCCACAACCAUACAAAUGAUUGACCUGCGGUCUUUUGAUUUGAGAUCCCUAACCUAUGACCUUGAAAUUGAGGUCAAGGUCAAAGGUCAAUUUGACAUUCUAGAUUUUGACCUUUGCUAAAAAUUAUUUUGAAGUCUUCUGCAUAUAUACCUAUUAGUCUUAUUUUUUAUAUCAAUUUGAAGAACCAAAUAACAUCAACAAGGAGUGACAUUUUU